Molecule: ribosomal RNA, 578 nt
Filed under: Hansenula anomala
Lineage: Eukaryota; Fungi; Ascomycota; Saccharomycetes; Phaffomycetales; Wickerhamomycetaceae
Description: eukaryotic LSU rRNA
Rfam family: Eukaryotic large subunit ribosomal RNA
Source: RNAcentral
AUCGGAGGAAAUGAAACCAACAGGGAUUGCCUCAGUAACGGCGAGUGAAGCGGCAAAAGCUCAAAUUUGAAAUCUAGCACCUUCGGUGUUUGAGUUGUAAUUUGAAGAUGGUAACCUUGGGUUUGGCUCUUGUCUAUGUUCCUUGGAACAGGACGUCAUAGAGGGUGAGAAUCCCGUCUGAUGAGAUGCCCAUUCCUAUGUAAGGUGCUAUCGAAGAGUCGAGUUGUUUGGGAAUGCAGCUCUAAGUGGGUGGUAAAUUCCAUCUAAAGCUAAAUAUUGGCGAGAGACCGAUAGCGAACAAGUACAGUGAUGGAAAGAUGAAAAGAACUUUGAAAAGAGAGUGAAAAAGUACGUGAAAUUGUUGAAAGGGAAGGGCAUUAGAUCAGACUUGGUGUUUUACGAUUAUCUUCUCUUCUUGAGUUGUGCACUCGUAUUUCACUGGGCCAGCAUCGAUUCGGAUGGCAAGAUAAUGGCAGUUGAAUGUGGCUUCACUUCGGUGGAGUGUUAUAGCUUCUGCUGAUAUUGCCUGUCUGGAUCGAGGGCUGCGUCUUUUGACUAGGAUGCUGCGUAAACACCCC